UCGAGGGGCAUCGGGAGGAAAGCUUGCUUUCCUUGCCGGCGACCGGCGCACGGGUGAGUAACACGUAUGCAACCUGCCCUCUUCAGGGGGACAACCUUCCGAAAGGGAGGCUAAUCCCGCGUAUAUCGGUUUCGGGCAUCCGAGAUCGAGGAAAGAUUCAUCGGAAGAGGAUGGGCAUGCGGCGCAUUAGCUAGACGGCGGGGUAACGGCCCACCGUGGCGACGAUGCGUAGGGGUUCUGAGAGGAAGGUCCCCCACACUGGUACUGAGACACGGACCAGACUCCUACGGGAGGCAGCAGUGAGGAAUAUUGGUCAAUGGGAGAGAUCCUGAACCAGCCAAGCCGCGUGAGGGAAGACGGCCCUAUGGGUUGUAAACCUCUUUUGUCGGAGAACAAAACCCGGGACGUGUCCCGGACUGCGUGUAUCCGAAGAAAAAGCAUCGGCUAACUCCGUGCCAGCAGCCGCGGUAAUACGGAGGAUGCGAGCGUUAUCCGGAUUUAUUGGGUUUAAAGGGUGCGUAGGCGGUCCGUUAAGUCAGCGGUAAAAUUGCGGGGCUCAACCCCGUCGAGCCGUUGAAACUGGCAGACUUGAGUUGGCGAGAAGUACGCGGAAUGCGCGGUGUAGCGGUGAAAUGCAUAGAUAUCGCGCAGAACUCCGAUUGCGAAGGCAGCGUACCGGCGCCAGACUGACGCUGAGGCACGAAAGCGUGGGGAUCGAACAGGAUUAGAUACCCUGGUAGUCCACGCAGUAAACGAUGAAUGCUGGUUGUCCGGGUCGAAUGAGAUCUGGGCGGCGAAGC
RNAcentral lists this ribosomal RNA (800 nucleotides) under uncultured bacterium. RNAcentral describes it as "bacterial SSU rRNA". It matches the Rfam family "Bacterial small subunit ribosomal RNA", at positions 62 to 852 of the family's 1533-position model. The record is from RNAcentral.